GAUGAACGCUAGCGGCAGGCUUAACACAUGCAAGUCGAGGGGCAGCACAAGAUUGCUUGCAAUCUGGUGGCGACCGGCGCGCGGGUGCGUAACGCGUAUACAAUCUACCUUAUAGAGGGGGAUAGCCCAGGGAAACUUGGAUUAAUACCCCAUAGUAUUAUAGCAUAGCAUUAUGUUAUAAUUAAACAUUUAUGGCUAUAAGAUGAGUAUGCGUCCUAUUAGUUAGUUGGUAAGGUAACGGCUUACCAAGACAUCGAUAGGUAGGGGUCCUGAGAGGGAGAUCCCCCCACACUGGUACUGAGACACGGGACCAGACUCCUACGGGAGGCAGC
This 332-nucleotide ribosomal RNA is filed under the name uncultured bacterium. RNAcentral describes it as "bacterial SSU rRNA". It matches the Rfam family "Bacterial small subunit ribosomal RNA", at positions 28 to 352 of the family's 1533-position model. The record is from RNAcentral.